CCUACGGGUGGCAGCAGUGAGGAAUAUUGGUCAAUGGACGAGAGUCUGAACCAGCCACGUAGCGUGAAGGAUGACUGCCCUCUGGGUUGUAAACUUCUUUUAUAUGGGAAUAAAAUGUUCCACGUGUGGGAUUUUGUAUGUACCAUAUGAAUAAGGCACGGCUCACUCCGUGCCAGCAGCCGCGGUAAUACGGAGGAUUCGAGCGUUAUCCGGAUUUAUUGGGUUUAAAGGGAGUGUAGGUGGAUUGUUAAGUCAGUUGUGAAAGUUGGCGGCUCAAACGUAAAAUUGAAGUUGAAACUGGCAGUCGUGAGUACAGUAGAGGUGGGCGGAAUUCGUGGUGUAGCGGUGAAAUGCUUAGAUAUCACGAAGAACACCGAUUGCGAAGGCAGUUCACUGGACUGCAACUGACACUGAGGCUCGAAAGUGUGGGUAUCAAACAGGAUUAGAUACCCCAGUAGUC
RNAcentral lists this ribosomal RNA (460 nucleotides) under uncultured bacterium. Its description in RNAcentral is "partial 16S ribosomal RNA". It matches the Rfam family "Bacterial small subunit ribosomal RNA", at positions 338 to 795 of the family's 1533-position model. The record is from RNAcentral.